AAUCAUUUGUCUUUUAAAUGAAGACUCGUAUGAACGGCAAAACCUUUUCCAACUGUCUCCCCUCCCAUCCUUUCAAAUUUCUUCCUGUGUGAAGAAGCACAGAUACAUUAGAAAGACGAGAAGACCCUGUCGAGCUUUAACCACUAAGUGGGCCCUAUUUUUUUCAGGCACCACUAAAAGGUUUUGGUUGGGGCAACCAUGGAGAAAAAAGAUCCUCCAGAGCAAAUAGAAGAAAGCUUUUCACUAUUUUUACUACUGAGAACCAGGAACUGGUAUUCGGAAAAAGUUACCGCAGGGAUAACAGCGUCAUCUCCUCUGAGAGUCCUUAUUGACGAGGAGGUUUGCGACCUCGAUGUUGGAUUGGGGCCCCCUUAGGGUGCAGAAGCUCUAAACGGUUAGACUGUUCGUCUAUUAAAGCCCUACAUGAUCUGAGUUCAAACCGGAG
This 445-nucleotide ribosomal RNA is filed under the name Holothuria tubulosa. RNAcentral's name for it is "partial 16S ribosomal RNA". It matches the Rfam family "Bacterial large subunit ribosomal RNA", at positions 1963 to 2621 of the family's 2925-position model. Lineage: Eukaryota; Metazoa; Echinodermata; Holothuroidea; Aspidochirotida; Holothuriidae. The record is from RNAcentral.